This 731-nucleotide long non-coding RNA is filed under the name Numida meleagris (helmeted guineafowl). RNAcentral describes it as "lncRNA (ENSNMEG00000018706.1)". Lineage: Eukaryota; Metazoa; Chordata; Aves; Galliformes; Numididae. The record is from RNAcentral.
AUGAAAUUAAGCAGUAGCCCACCUGGCGGAAGCCACCUCUAGGGGACGUGUCCCUGACUGAGCCUGGGGCUGCACGAGUCGCAUUCGCGUGAGCUUCUGGCUCCGUUCCUCUCAGAGAAGAGGGAAGCAGCGGCCGCGCGCAGCCCGCGGGCGGGAGCGUCCCGAGCGGUGGAGGCGCGUGCAGCUCGCGCCGGGGCAGGCGGCGUGCGGGGCUCGGCGGCGAGGGAGCAGCAGCGGCCGUGCAGACCGGGAGCCCCAGUGCUCAAGUGGAUUGCUGUGUUAGUAAGAGCUUCACACCAUCCAGGCUGCCAAGUGGAGAGCUUGUGUGAUCCAGUCACUAGGAUGUCUUGAGGAUGAAGUAGGAUUUGUCAUUUUUCUUAAAUCUUCCUGACAGUAAAUGCUCUGAAACCCUGUCGAGAGUGUCAAGUGGCUACUCAAAAAUACCCAUGGAUUCAUGGGUUUGUUCGGCCUGGGAAGUUCAAGUGAAGGCAAACCUGCGAUUAAGCCCUACAGUGGAACCAUUUUGUCACUGUUCCUUCCCAGAAAUGGUUGUAUCAGAUGCUCUUGCUACACAUAACUUCUGGAAUCAAACUCUAAGAAAAUACACAUUAAAAUAUUAUGGCAACGCAUUAGUAUUUGUUGAUUACAGAAUUCAAUUUUGUGUUGCAGCUCUUACUGUUCAGUGUUAAUAUAGCUGUCUGCUUGUUUUUAUGGACUGUGAUGAGCUUCUG